AUUGAACGCUGGCGGCAGGCUUAACACAUGCAAGUCGAGCGGGGUGAUGGUGCUUGCACUAUCACUUAGCGGCGGACGGGUGAGUAAUGCUUAGGAAUCUGCCUAUUAGUGGGGGACAACAUCUCGAAAGGGAUGCUAAUACCGCAUACGUCCUACGGGAGAAAGCAGGGGAUCACUUGUGACCUUGCGCUAAUAGAUGAGCCUAAGUCGGAUUAGCUAGUUGGUGGGGUAAAGGCCUACCAAGGCGACGAUCUGUAGCGGGUCUGAGAGGAUGAUCCGCCACACUGGGACUUGAACACGGCCCAGACUCCUACGGGGGGCAGCGGUGGGGAAUAUUGGACAAUGUGGGGAACCCUGAUCCAGCCAUGCCGCGUGUGUGAAGAAGGCCUUAUGGUUGUAAAGCACUUUAAGCGAGGAGGAGGCUCUUUUGGUUAAUACCCAAGAUGAGUGGACGUUACUCGCAGAAUAAGCACCGGCUAACUCUGUGCCAGCCGCCGCCGUAA
RNAcentral lists this ribosomal RNA (503 nucleotides) under uncultured bacterium. Its description in RNAcentral is "partial 16S ribosomal RNA". It matches the Rfam family "Bacterial small subunit ribosomal RNA", at positions 30 to 523 of the family's 1533-position model. The record is from RNAcentral.